This 253-nucleotide ribosomal RNA is filed under the name uncultured bacterium. RNAcentral describes it as "partial 16S ribosomal RNA". It matches the Rfam family "Bacterial small subunit ribosomal RNA", at positions 524 to 776 of the family's 1533-position model. The record is from RNAcentral.
UACGUAGGGGGCAAGCGUUGUCCGGAAUCAUUGGGCGUAAAGAGCGCGUAGGCGGCCCAGUAAGUCCGCUCUGAAAGUCAGAGGCUCAACCUCUGAAUGCGGGUGGAUACUGCGGGGCUAGAGUGCAGAAGGGGCAACUGGAAUUCUCGGUGUAGCGGUGAAAUGCGUAGAUAUCGAGAGGAACACCUGCGGCGAAGGCGGGUUGCUGGGCUGACACUGACGCUGAUGUGCGAAAGCUAGGGGAGCGAACGGG